RNAcentral lists this ribosomal RNA (442 nucleotides) under uncultured ammonia-oxidizing beta proteobacterium. RNAcentral's name for it is "bacterial SSU rRNA". It matches the Rfam family "Bacterial small subunit ribosomal RNA", at positions 198 to 621 of the family's 1533-position model. Lineage: Bacteria; Pseudomonadati; Pseudomonadota; Betaproteobacteria. The record is from RNAcentral.
GGAGGAAAGCAGGGGAUCGCAAGACCUUGCGCUUUUGGAGCGGCCGAUGUCUGAUUAGCUAGUUGGUGGGGUAAAGGCUUACCAAGGCAACGAUCAGUAGUUGGUCUGAGAGGACGACCAGCCACACUGGGACUGAGACACGGCCCAGACUCCUACGGGAGGCAGCAGUGGGGAGUUUUGGACAAUGGGCGAAAGCCUGAUCCAGCCAUGCCGCGUGGGUGAAGAAGGCCUUCGGGUUGUAAAGCUCUUUCAGUCGAGAAGAAAAAAUUGCGACUAAUAAUCGCAAUUCAUGACGGUAUCGACAGAAGAAGCACCGGCUAACUACGUGCCAGCAGCCGCGGUAAUACGUAGGGUGCAAGCGUUAAUCGGAAUUACUGGGCGUAAAGGGUGCGCAGGCGGCCUUGUAAGUCAGAUGUGAAAUCCCCGGGCUUAACCUGGGAAU